GCUGGGGAUAGAACUCAGUGGUAGAGCACUUGCCUAGCAUGCAACAUGCUCUGGGUUCAAUUCCUAGCAGCA
Molecule: transfer RNA, 72 nt
Filed under: Marmota monax (woodchuck)
Lineage: Eukaryota; Metazoa; Chordata; Mammalia; Rodentia; Sciuridae
Description: tRNA.Ala
Rfam family: tRNA (bases 12-67)
About the family: Transfer RNA (tRNA) molecules are approximately 80 nucleotides in length. Their secondary structure includes four short double-helical elements and three loops (D, anti-codon, and T loops).
Source: RNAcentral